CCCCUCUCAGGAUCAUACCUAGAGAGGUUCCAGUACUCUACCAGUCAUGACUACAGGAGGGAGAGUCAAGCAGAGGAAUACGCAUUCCAUUCCUAGCUUGGGCAGUGGCUAGCGAGUGGAAGGCAAUCUGCUACAUGU
Molecule: small nucleolar RNA, 138 nt
Organism: Tachyglossus aculeatus (Australian echidna)
Lineage: Eukaryota; Metazoa; Chordata; Mammalia; Monotremata; Tachyglossidae
Source: RefSeq, a predicted model, not a curated record